GUGAGUAACGCGUGGGUAACCUGCCCUGUACACACGGAUAACAUACCGAAAGGUAUGCUAAUACGAGAUAAUAUACUUUUAUCGCAUGGUAGAAAUAUCAAAGCUUUUGCGGUACAGGAUGGACCCGCGUCUGAUUAGCUAGUUGGCAAGGUAACGGCUUACCAAGGCGACGAUCAGUAGCCGACCUGAGAGGGUGAUCGGCCACAUUGGAACUGAGACACGGUCCAAACUCCUACGGGAGGCAGCAGUGGGGAAUAUUGCACAAUGGGCGAAAGCCUGAUGCAGCAACGCCGCGUGAGCGAUGAAGGCCUUCGGGUCGUAAAGCUCUGUCCUCAAGGAAGAUAAUGACGGUACUUGAGGAGGAAGCCCCGGCUAACUACGUGCCAGCAGCCGCGGUAAUACGUAGGGGGCUAGCGUUAUCCGGAAUUACUGGGCGUAAAGGGUGCGUAGGUGGUUUCUUAAGUCAGAGGUGAAAGGCUACGGCUCAACCGUAGUAAGCCUUUGAAACUGGGAAACUUGAGUGCAGGAGAGGAGAGUGGAAUUCCUAGUGUAGCGGUGAAAUGCGUAGAUAUUAGGAGGAA
This 581-nucleotide ribosomal RNA is filed under the name uncultured Clostridium sp. RNAcentral describes it as "bacterial SSU rRNA". It matches the Rfam family "Bacterial small subunit ribosomal RNA", at positions 106 to 706 of the family's 1533-position model. Lineage: Bacteria; Bacillati; Bacillota; Clostridia; Eubacteriales; Clostridiaceae. The record is from RNAcentral.